UGUACCCAAAGUGCUGGGACCUCCGAUU
Molecule: small RNA, 28 nt
Filed under: Bombyx mori (domestic silkworm)
Lineage: Eukaryota; Metazoa; Arthropoda; Insecta; Lepidoptera; Bombycidae
Description: ovarian small RNA-35400
Source: RNAcentral